This 361-nucleotide long non-coding RNA is filed under the name Capra hircus (goat). Its description in RNAcentral is "lncRNA (ENSCHIG00000003557.1)". The record is from RNAcentral. Lineage: Eukaryota; Metazoa; Chordata; Mammalia; Artiodactyla; Bovidae.
CUGGAAUCUAGUCCAAAUUAAUGACUGUGUUUCUAAGUUGAGGCGAAGCAAGUAAACCGCAGCUCUGCAAUGAAAUUAACUUGAGGGCCGAGUCCAGCUUGAGGAAACCUCAGAAGAGUUUGCACAUUGAACUGGAAUCUGAAGAACUCUUUCAGGAUACACAGCCUUUCAAAAAAGCAUUCUUCCCGAGGGUCUUUAUAUCAAUAAUACAUAGCUCCUCUCUUCACCAGAAACAAUGGAAGCUUUCCAGGAAGUUAUUGUCAGUGACCAUUGGAGGUGGAAAACCUCCAGAGAACCAUCCAUGGUCUUUAAGAAUUGACAAACUUUUGAAAAAAAGUCCAGUAUUUAAAAUAAAAAUUCC